Molecule: ribosomal RNA, 450 nt
Filed under: uncultured bacterium
Lineage: Bacteria
Description: bacterial SSU rRNA
Rfam family: Bacterial small subunit ribosomal RNA
Source: RNAcentral
AACGAACGCUGGCGGCAUGCCUAACACAUGCAAGUCGAACGAGACCUUCGGGUCUAGUGGCGCACGGGUGCGUAACGCGUGGGAAUCUGCCCUUGGGUUCGGAAUAACAGCGAGAAAUUGCUGCUAAUACCGGAUGAUGACGUAAGUCCAAAGAUUUAUCGCCCAAGGAUGAGCCCGCGUAGGAUUAGCUAGUUGGUGAGGUAAAGGCUCACCAAGGCGACGAUCCUUAGCUGGUCUGAGAGGAUGAUCAGCCACACUGGGACUGAGACACGGCCCAGACUCCUACGGGAGGCAGCAGUGGGGAAUAUUGGACAAUGGGCGAAAGCCUGAUCCAGCAAUGCCGCGUGAGUGAUGAAGGCCUUAGGGUUGUAAAGCUCUUUUACCCGGGAUGACAAUGACAGUACCGGGAGAAUAAGCUCCGGCUAACUCCGUGCCAGCAGCCGCGGUAAU